This 253-nucleotide ribosomal RNA is filed under the name uncultured bacterium. RNAcentral's name for it is "partial 16S ribosomal RNA". It matches the Rfam family "Bacterial small subunit ribosomal RNA", at positions 524 to 776 of the family's 1533-position model. The record is from RNAcentral.
UACGUAGGGUGCAAGCGUUGUCCGGAAUUAUUGGGCGUAAAGAGCUCGUAGGCGGUCUGUCGCGUCUGCUGUGAAAACCUGGGGCUUAACCCCGGGCCUGCAGUGGGUACGGGCAGACUAGAGUGUGGUAGGGGAGACUGGAAUUCCUGGUGUAGCGGUGAAAUGCGCAGAUAUCAGGAGGAACACCGGUGGCGAAGGCGGGUCUCUGGGCCAUAACUGACGCUGAGACGCGAAAGCGUGGGGAGCAAACAGG